AGUCCCGUAGGCGAACGAAUAAGCCGUCAGCCCCUCAAGCUGGAGAUGCGGGUUUAAAUCCCGUCGGGACUUCCA
RNAcentral lists this transfer RNA (75 nucleotides) under Oxynema mangrovii CENA135. Its description in RNAcentral is "tRNA-Glu". It matches the Rfam family "tRNA". Rfam says of the family: Transfer RNA (tRNA) molecules are approximately 80 nucleotides in length. Their secondary structure includes four short double-helical elements and three loops (D, anti-codon, and T loops). Further hydrogen bonds mediate the characteristic L-shaped molecular structure. tRNAs have two regions of fundamental functional importance: the anti-codon, which is responsible for specific mRNA codon recognition, and the 3' end, to which the tRNAs corresponding amino acid is attached (by aminoacyl-tRNA synthetases). tRNAs cope with the degeneracy of the genetic code in two manners: having more than one tRNA (with a specific anti-codon) for a particular amino acid; and 'wobble' base-pairing, i.e. permitting non-standard base-pairing at the 3rd anti-codon position. RNAcentral also lists the same sequence under 2 other names. Lineage: Bacteria; Bacillati; Cyanobacteriota; Cyanophyceae; Oscillatoriales; Oscillatoriaceae. The record is from RNAcentral.